AGAGUUUGAUCAUGGCUCAGGAUGAACGCUAGCUACAGGCUUAACACAUGGCAAGUCGAGGGGAAACGACAUCGAAAGCUUGCUUUUGAUGGGCGUCGACCGGCGCACGGGUGAGUAACGCGGUAUCCAACCUGCCCACCACUUGGGGAUAACCUUGCGAAAGUAAGACUAAUACCCAAUGACGUCUCUAGAAGACAUCUGAAAGAGAUUAAAGAUUUAUCGGUGAUGGAUGGGGAUGCGUCUGAUUAGCUUGUUGGCGGGGUAACGGCCCACAAGGCGACGAUCAGUAGGGGUUCUGAGAGGAAGGUCCCCCACAUUGGAACUGAGACACGGUCCAAACUCCUACGGGAGGCA
Molecule: ribosomal RNA, 354 nt
Filed under: uncultured bacterium
Lineage: Bacteria
Description: bacterial SSU rRNA
Rfam family: Bacterial small subunit ribosomal RNA
Source: RNAcentral